GGUCCCUUAGCUCAGUUGGUUAGAGCGUGGUGCUAAUAACGCCAAGGUCGGCGGUUCGAAACCGCCAGGGAUCA
This 74-nucleotide transfer RNA is filed under the name Botrytis cinerea T4. Its description in RNAcentral is "tRNA-Ile (AAT) (tRNA-Ile-AAT-2-1)". It matches the Rfam family "tRNA". Rfam says of the family: Transfer RNA (tRNA) molecules are approximately 80 nucleotides in length. Their secondary structure includes four short double-helical elements and three loops (D, anti-codon, and T loops). Lineage: Eukaryota; Fungi; Ascomycota; Leotiomycetes; Helotiales; Sclerotiniaceae. The record is from RNAcentral.